This 721-nucleotide long non-coding RNA is filed under the name Fukomys damarensis (Damara mole-rat). RNAcentral's name for it is "lncRNA (ENSFDAG00000022853.1)". The record is from RNAcentral. Lineage: Eukaryota; Metazoa; Chordata; Mammalia; Rodentia; Bathyergidae.
CUGCCUCACAGCCCUUCAAGAACCCAACCACUGGUGCAUUUGCUUUCUGUCCCCAACAGGAAGCACUCGCUCUACGGAGCCCUUCAUUCUCACACGCCUGCUCCAUCGGGAAGACGCAAGGAGCUGCAGCUCUCCUGUCUCGCCCGGGAGGGGAACUUGGACGGCCUUGGAAAACUACGGUCUGCUCUGCCACGACCACAGACUUCAGCCAGAGUUCCAGAAAUACCAACCGCAAUUACUUUCAACGGCGCGGGAAUUCACCACUUCCCCUCACAGAUCCUGCGGCGAAGGGUCACUUGAGUGCUGUGUCUACAGGUAUGUGCCACUGCACUUAGCUAAGAUCCAAUAAAGAAGAGACGCGAGUCCUUGGUGCAGUCCAGGCCCAGAUGAGUGGCUCCCACCUUCCUUCUUCACGGUCUUGCCCUCCUUCCAGCCUCACUGAUCCCCAGAACACACCGACCACGUUACCACCACAGUCGUCUGCAUCCUGCUCCUGGGCUACACCGAUUAACAGCUCCCCAAAGACAGCCAUGUCCUAAGCCAUCAGCAAUAACUGUGACUUUUCAUGGUGAUGGGGACUUUGGAAAUGGGAUUAAGCCACGUCUUUUUUGUUUUGUUUUUUUUUGGUACUGGGGAUCAAACUCAGGUCCUCGUGCUUGCAAGGCAAGUGCUGGAACCACUGAGCUAAAUCCCCAGCAAGCACGUCUUUUUUAUUUCUCUC